GUGUAUGGCUACACCACCCUGAAGAUGCCCAAUCUUGUCGGAUCUCAGAAGCUAAGCAGGGUCAGGCCUGGUUAGUACUUGGAAGGCAGAAAUGUAUAGGGGAGAUCCCGUUGGGGCACAGU
Molecule: ribosomal RNA, 122 nt
Filed under: Sus scrofa (pig)
Lineage: Eukaryota; Metazoa; Chordata; Mammalia; Artiodactyla; Suidae
Source: RNAcentral